RNAcentral lists this ribosomal RNA (429 nucleotides) under Bacteroidota bacterium. RNAcentral describes it as "Bacteroidetes bacterium partial 16S ribosomal RNA". It matches the Rfam family "Bacterial small subunit ribosomal RNA", at positions 355 to 776 of the family's 1533-position model. Lineage: Bacteria; Pseudomonadati; Bacteroidota. The record is from RNAcentral.
UAGGGAAUCUUCCGCAAUGGACGCAAGUCUGACGGAGCAACGCCGCGUGAGUGAAGAAGGAUUUCGGUUCGUAAAACUCUGUUGUUAGAGAAGAACAGCGCAUAGAGUAACUGUUAUGCGUGUGAGGGUAUCUAACCAGAAAGCCACGGCUAACUACGUGCCAGCAGCCGCGGUAAUACGUAGGUGGCAAGCGUUUUCUGGAUUUAUUGGGCGUAAAGCGAGCGCAGGCGGUCAAUUAAGUCUGAUGUGAAAGGCAGUGGCUUAACCGUGGAGGGUCAUUGGAAACUGGUUGACUAUGGUGCAGAAGAGGAGAGUGGAACUCCAUGUGUAGCGGUGAAAUGCGUAGAUAUAUGGAGGAACACAAGUGGCGAAGGCGACUCUCUGGUCUGUAACUGACGCUGAGGCUCGAAAGCGUGGGUAGCAAACAGG